UACGUAGGGACCGAGCGUUGUCCGGAAUCAUUGGGCGUAAAGAGCGUGUAGGCGGCUAUUUAAGUCCUGCGUGAAAUCCUGCGGCUCAACCGCAGACGGUCGUGGAAAACUGGAUGGCUAGAGUGCGGGAGAGGAGAGUGGAAUUCCCGGUGUAGCGGUGAAAUGCGCAGAUAUCGGGAAGAACACCCGUGGCGAAGGCGGCUCUCUGGAACGCAACUGACGCUGAGACGCGAAAGCGUGGGGAGCAAACAGG
Molecule: ribosomal RNA, 253 nt
Filed under: uncultured bacterium
Lineage: Bacteria
Description: partial 16S ribosomal RNA
Rfam family: Bacterial small subunit ribosomal RNA
Source: RNAcentral